UACGAAGGGUGCUAGCGUUGCUCGGAAUUACUGGGCGUAAAGGGUUUGUAGGCGGUCUUUUAAGCUAGUGGUGAAAGCCCAGGGCUCAACCCUGGAAUUGCCAUUAGAACUGGAAGGCUAGAGAGUGUUAGAGGUAAGUGGAAUUCCUAGUGUAGGAGUGAAAUCCGUAGAGAUUAGGAGGAAUAUCGAUGGCGAAGGCAGCUUACUGGGACAUUUCUGACGCUGAAAAACGAAAGCGUGGGUAGCAAACAGG
RNAcentral lists this ribosomal RNA (253 nucleotides) under uncultured bacterium. RNAcentral describes it as "partial 16S ribosomal RNA". It matches the Rfam family "Bacterial small subunit ribosomal RNA", at positions 524 to 776 of the family's 1533-position model. The record is from RNAcentral.